Molecule: ribosomal RNA, 805 nt
Filed under: uncultured Pelagibacteraceae bacterium
Lineage: Bacteria; Pseudomonadati; Pseudomonadota; Alphaproteobacteria; Candidatus Pelagibacterales; Candidatus Pelagibacteraceae
Description: bacterial SSU rRNA
Rfam family: Bacterial small subunit ribosomal RNA
Source: RNAcentral
CGCUGGCGGCACGCCUAAUACAUGCAAGUCGAACGAAGUAGCAAUACUUAGUGGCAGACGGGUGAGUAACAUGUGGGUAUCUUCCCUUUGGUGAGGAAUAACACGAGGAAACUUGUGCUAAUACCUCAUAAGUCUUUACGGAGAAAGCUUUAUGCGCCAAUGGAUGAGCCUGCACUUGAUUAGUUUGUUGGUGGGGUAAUGGCCUACCAAGACUGUGAUCAAUAGCUGAUUUGAGAGGAUGAUCAGCCACAUUGGGACUGAGACACGGCCCAAACUCCUACGGGAGGCAGCAGUAGGGAAUCUUGCACAAUGGAGGAAACUCUGAUGCAGCGAUGCCGCGUGAGUGAAGAAGGCCUUUGGGUUGUAAAGCUCUUUCGUCGGGGAAGAAAAUGACUGUACCCGAAUAAGAAGGUCCGGCUAACUUCGUGCCAGCAGCCGCGGUAAUACGAAGGGACCUAGCGUAGUUCGGAAUUACUGGGCUUAAAGAGUUCGUAGGUGGUUAAAAAAGUUGGUGGUGAAAGCCCAGAGCUUAACUCUGGAACGGCCAUCAAAACUUUUUAGCUAGAGUUUGAUAGAGGAAAGCAGAAUUUCUAGUGUAGAGGUGAAAUUCGUAGAUAUUAGAAAGAAUACCAAUUGCGAAGGCAGCUUUCUGGAUCAUUACUGACACUGAGGAACGAAAGCAUGGGUAGCGAAGAGGAUUAGAUACCCUCGUAGUCCAUGCCGUAAACGAUGUGUGUUAGAUGUUGGAAAUUUAUUUUCAGUAUCGCAGCGAAAGCAAUAAACACACCGCCUGGGGAGUACGACC